UCCCAUGUGGCUCAAUGGGUAGAGUGUGGCGCUUGUAACGUCAGGGUUUUGGGUUUGAUUCCCACGAGGGGAC
This 73-nucleotide transfer RNA is filed under the name Salmo salar (Atlantic salmon). It matches the Rfam family "tRNA". From Rfam's summary of the family: Transfer RNA (tRNA) molecules are approximately 80 nucleotides in length. Their secondary structure includes four short double-helical elements and three loops (D, anti-codon, and T loops). Further hydrogen bonds mediate the characteristic L-shaped molecular structure. tRNAs have two regions of fundamental functional importance: the anti-codon, which is responsible for specific mRNA codon recognition, and the 3' end, to which the tRNAs corresponding amino acid is attached (by aminoacyl-tRNA synthetases). tRNAs cope with the degeneracy of the genetic code in two manners: having more than one tRNA (with a specific anti-codon) for a particular amino acid; and 'wobble' base-pairing, i.e. permitting non-standard base-pairing at the 3rd anti-codon position. The record is from Rfam by way of RNAcentral. Lineage: Eukaryota; Metazoa; Chordata; Actinopteri; Salmoniformes; Salmonidae. RNAcentral also lists the same sequence under 1 other name.